UCAUCCGCUAGUCGACGGGCCGUGGUCUGCUCCUCGCAGUGUACAGCCGAGGCGCAGAGUCCCUCCGGGGAAAAGCCCCGUGGCGCCUGAGGGUGUCUGCUCCCAACCGGACCUGCGGGUGAGCAGAGCAGUCCCUUCGUGGUCGCCAACUGAAGCGGUACGCGGAAUAAAUAGAUAGACUCCACACCCUGGGGUAGUUAUGAAGUGGACGUUCCAUAUGCAAUACACUGCACGACUUUUUCAUGCGUAUUCAACCCCUGGCCCCGCCUGUCCUCGCUUCUCAUGCUAACUUUCCUCAUCAUCCCCGGGGAAUUCAACAUUCCCAGAGCUGCUGUGCCAGUGCUGAAGGAGAAAAAGGGAGUGAAAGGCUGAGGGUUUGUGAUGUAAAAGCACCAGAGGUGCUGUUGUGGACCCGAGACCUGCCUGCGGUCAAGUGCUGCCUUCCUUCCAUUUAGGAUCAUGGAGAGCGUUCGCAGGCAUUGCCCAGGGCAUAUGCCUGGCCCCAGGGCACUGCUACGCUGCCACUGGGCACUGGGAUCCAACCUGCUGCCUUU
Long non-coding RNA from Vidua chalybeata, 554 nucleotides. RefSeq lists it as uncharacterized. Lineage: Eukaryota; Metazoa; Chordata; Aves; Passeriformes; Viduidae. The transcript is spliced from 3 exons. The record is from RefSeq and is a predicted model, not a curated record.